UACGUAGGGCGCAAGCGUUGUCCGGAAUUAUUGGGCGUAAAGAGCUCGUAGGUGGCUUGUCGCGUCUGCCGUGAAAGCCCAUGGCUUAACUGUGGGUCUGCGGUGGAUACGGGCUGGCUAGAGGUAGGUAGGGGCAAUCGGAAUUCCUGGUGUAGCGGUGAAAUGCGUAGAUAUCUGGAGGAACACCGGUGGCGAAGGCGGCAUCCUGGACCGGCAUUGACGCUGAGGAGCGAAAGCCAGGGGAGCAAACGGG
RNAcentral lists this ribosomal RNA (253 nucleotides) under uncultured bacterium. RNAcentral's name for it is "partial 16S ribosomal RNA". It matches the Rfam family "Bacterial small subunit ribosomal RNA", at positions 524 to 776 of the family's 1533-position model. The record is from RNAcentral.